CGGCGCUCAAGCGUCAGAAGGGCUCCGGACGCAACCACUACCUUGGCUUGGCGAGCAUUUUACAUGUCCAGCACAUUUCGCUUUGGAUUUGCCCCAUUUCAAGGGCUCCGCAGCCACAUGUGGCCCAUGGCUACUAUCUCGGACAGUGCAGCUCUGGAAUUCACCCUCAGAGGCCAUGUUUGUUGGGCCAGAAGGACAAGAGAAGCUGAUGGGUCAUCCCGUGUAGUCCCAUGACAGAUUGUUCCAGUUACAUCUAUCCAACAUGCUGACUGUGGAGUACUUCUGAAUCUGCUUAAGAGGAAGGGAGAAUUAUUCUGUGGGCUGUCUGGUCUACCAGAUCUCAUGUUUGGAGACCAUGCUGGUUUGGGCUGUGUUG
Lutra lutra (Eurasian river otter) is the source of this 376-nucleotide long non-coding RNA. RefSeq lists it as uncharacterized. The transcript is spliced from 3 exons. The record is from RefSeq and is a predicted model, not a curated record. Lineage: Eukaryota; Metazoa; Chordata; Mammalia; Carnivora; Mustelidae.